AGACUACCAGCCAGAGAGAGGAGGUCUGGAGAUACUGACUGUUUGUAGAGACUACCAGCCAGAGAGAGAGGAGAGGUCUGGAGAUACUGACUGUUUGAAGAGACUACCAGCCAGAGAGAGGAGAGGUCUGGAGAUACUGACUGUUUGAAGAGACUACCAGCCAGAGAGAGGAGAGGUCUGGAGAUACUGACUGAAGAGACUACCAGCCAGAGAGAGGAGAGGUCUGGAGAUACUGACUGAAGAGACUACCAGCCAGAGAGAGAGGAGAGGUCUGGAGAUACUGACUACCUACGUAAUGUCUAGUGUACCAUUGACAUGGAACAUUCCGGUAACUAUUCACAGAAUUACAUGUCAAUACAUGUGAUUGACAAGCAGCUAAAAAAAAACUAUUGACAGCCUGUGUUCAUUCACAUCUGCAGUACCUGAAUAAAAAUGACAGUCAAUGUUGGUGUAAGCCCCUUUAAAAAAAAAUGCAUUCCUUAUUCCUUUCCUCAACCAGAAACACUGAUCUACAGU
Molecule: long non-coding RNA, 516 nt
Organism: Oncorhynchus keta (chum salmon)
Lineage: Eukaryota; Metazoa; Chordata; Actinopteri; Salmoniformes; Salmonidae
Exons: 3
Source: RefSeq, a predicted model, not a curated record